UUCUAGUAUCAGAAGUACAAGAAGGAAAAUGGAAGUUUAGUUCUGCUACAUCAAAGAUUUCAGGAUUAAAAUAACUAAAUGAGUCUUUAUGCCUCAAACUUUAUUUUACAAUAAAGAAAUAAUGAAAUAAUCACAUAAUAAAAAUAUAAAUAGCAGAGAAAACCUGAGAAAAUUUUCCUGAAAAGUCUGUAAAGGAAAAGCAGCUUUUUAUCCUGAAAGAUCAGAAUCAGCUCCAACAUCUGCAUCUGACAGCAUCAAGUCAACCAGAAAGAAAAGAAAAAAGAAAAUGACUUCUUUCUGAUCACAUCUAUUCCGCUGCUCACAGUCUGCUGCUGCUCACAUUCUUCACAUUUAUAGUCCACUUUUAAAAGUUCAGCAGACAGGUGCUCUGCUUUGGAGUGUGACGAUGUCGUGGGUGAUGUGGAGAGUGAAGUUUCCGUUUCACCCACAGCAUGCUUUAGGGCAGCCGGGUCGGACUUGAUGUUUGAAAUACAGAUUGACAGCUCAGAUUUAACUAUCUGUAGUUCCGUUUUGAUGGGUGUUAAACUUUCACUCAAAGCCGCCGGGAGCUGGGUCUUUAAAAUAACCACGGUCUCGUUACAGAGUGGAAGUAGCAGUUCCUCCUUAAGGUCAGAGAUUGCAGCAUCUGAGGGCCUCUUCAAAAGAAGACGUACUUGAUGAAGGCAUUCUGGAGCAGGACCAGAAAGACCACGACCAAGCAGCCUUGAGAUCUUAGGCAGCGUCUCCCUCAGGUUCCUCUCUAUCUCCCCACACAUCCACCAACCACUGGAACACAUCUCCAAAGUUCUGCUGGGCCAGCUCAGCUUCCCCUCAGAAGAAGUGCCGCCACCUGCCAGAUGAAGGAGCCUUUUGAGAGGCAGCUGGCAUCGUGAUUGGACUGUACUUUGGUCUGUUCCAAUCCAGCUUCAGCUCCAGAGACGGCAGGCGGGACGAGUCAACGGAGGCCGGGUGGAUGAAGGCAUGCAGCUGAGUACAAUCCAGAAAACAACAGAGGAGGAGUGCAGCGGCCCAGAGCCAGAACAACCAGAGUAGCAUCGUAUGUCUCUUAGAAAACAUCAUAGUAUAGCCUUUGGUAUGAAAAAACGCCAUCAUAUACAUCGUAUAUUGUACAAAUAACAAGUCAAAGGAAAGAGACAUACAUUGUAGAAUUGUAGUAAUUGUGGGCUGACUGAUUUACUGAUUAUCAGUAUUUUAUUUUUUACUGAUUUAUGGUAAUAAAUACAUUUAAAAAUGGCGCUA
This is a long non-coding RNA of Amphiprion ocellaris (clown anemonefish), 1260 nucleotides long. RefSeq lists it as uncharacterized. The transcript has 2 exons. Lineage: Eukaryota; Metazoa; Chordata; Actinopteri; Pomacentridae. The record is from RefSeq and is a predicted model, not a curated record.